RNAcentral lists this small nuclear RNA (105 nucleotides) under Carlito syrichta (Philippine tarsier). The record is from RNAcentral. Lineage: Eukaryota; Metazoa; Chordata; Mammalia; Primates; Tarsiidae.
GUGCUUGCUUUGGCAGCACAUAUACUAAAAUUGGAACGAUAGAGAAGAUUAGCAUGGCCCCUGUGCAAGGAUGACACGCAAAUUCAUGAAGCAUUCCAUAUUUUU